CACUACCAUAGUGCCAAGCAAGGUUGGAGGAGGCCGGGGAGUCAUGGAAUUGUUUCUGGCCUCCUAGUUCUUACGAUCAUAACCGCCUCCAGAAGGCAGUCGCGCACCACCUUCCUCCAGGUGCAGCGUGGGACGUGCAUGGUGACGUGAGGGUCUUGGUUAGCUGUGGCCAAACUCACGCUACCUGCAGGAGCCAGCUGGAAGAGUCCAGACCACUAGGGGCCCGCCGCAACACUUUUUUGAAGGUGCAGACCUUUAGAGUUAAACUGAACAGCAAUGAAACAUUUUAGAAAUUAAAAUACAAAUAUUUCAAAAACUGCUGUUUGACUGCCCAUUUAGUCUGAAAUUAAACUGGCACUUACUAUGCUUCAAGGUGUGGACACUGAUGACGAGGCACCACCCCCCCCCCCCCCCCCCCCCCAAGGAAAACAGAACGACAAUCUGUAGAUGAAGGGGCCAGGUAGGUAAAAAUAUGUUGUAUGUGUUUACUGGUUAAUGCCAGUACAAAUGGUACUUUGAA
RNAcentral lists this long non-coding RNA (520 nucleotides) under Gadus morhua (Atlantic cod). Its description in RNAcentral is "lncRNA (ENSGMOG00000027765.1)". The record is from RNAcentral. Lineage: Eukaryota; Metazoa; Chordata; Actinopteri; Gadiformes; Gadidae.